This 402-nucleotide ribosomal RNA is filed under the name uncultured bacterium. RNAcentral's name for it is "bacterial SSU rRNA". It matches the Rfam family "Bacterial small subunit ribosomal RNA", at positions 362 to 758 of the family's 1533-position model. The record is from RNAcentral.
UAUUGGACAAUGGGCGCAAGCCUGAUCCAGCCAUACCGCGUGGGUGAAGAAGGCCUUCGGGUUGUAAAGCCCUUUUGUUGGGAAAGAAAUCCAGCUGGUUAAUACCCGGUUGGGAUGACGGUACCCAAAGAAUAAGCACCGGCUAACUUCGUGCCAGCAGCCGCGGUAAUACGAAGGGUGCAAGCGUUACUCGGAAUUACUGGGCGUAAAGCGUGCGUAGGUGGUCGUUUAAGUCUGUUGUGAAAGCCCUGGGCUCAACCUGGGAACUGCAGUGGAAACUGGACGACUAGAGUGUGGUAGAGGGUAGCGGAAUUCCUGGUGUAGCAGUGAAAUGCGUAGAGAUCAGGAGGAACAUCCAUGGCGAAGGCAGCUACCUGACCAACACGACACUGAGGCACGAAA